CUACGGAGGGGGUUAGCGUUGUUCGGAAUUACUGGGCGUAAAGCGUACGUAGGCGGACUGGAAAGUUGGGGGUGAAAUCCCGGGGCUCAACCCCGGAACUGCCUCCAAAACUUCCAAUCUAGAGAUCGAGAGAGGUGAGUGGAAUUCCAAGUGUAGAGGUGAAAUUCGUAGAUAUUUGGAGGAACACCAGUGGCGAAGGCGGCUCACUGGCUCGAUACUGACGUUGAGGUACGAAAGCGUGGGGAGCAAACAGGAUUAGAUACCCUAGUAGUCC
RNAcentral lists this ribosomal RNA (274 nucleotides) under uncultured bacterium. RNAcentral's name for it is "partial 16S ribosomal RNA". It matches the Rfam family "Bacterial small subunit ribosomal RNA", at positions 523 to 796 of the family's 1533-position model. The record is from RNAcentral.